AACGAACGUUGGCGGUGUGGAUUAGGCAUGCAAGUCGUGCGCGAAAGCCUUCGGGCGAGUAAAGCGGCGAACGGGUGAGUAACACGUAAUCAACCUACCCUCGAGAUCGGAAUAACCACUGGAAACGGUGGGUAAUGCCGAAUGGUCCCACGGAGAGGCAUCUCUUUGUGGGUAAACGGUAGCUCUGCUACUGCUUGGGGAGGGGAUUGCGGCCUAUCAGCUUGUUGGUGGGGUAACGGCCUACCAAGGCAAUGACGGGUAGCUGGUCUGAGAGGACGACCAGUCACACUGGGACUGAGACACUGCCCAG
Molecule: ribosomal RNA, 310 nt
Filed under: uncultured bacterium
Lineage: Bacteria
Description: bacterial SSU rRNA
Rfam family: Bacterial small subunit ribosomal RNA
Source: RNAcentral